CUUGAGGGAUAUAAGAGGUCCAGCCUGCCCAGUGACCUAGUUCAACGGCCGCGGUAUCCUAACCGUGCGAAGGUAGCGUAAUCACUUGUUCUUUAAAUAAGGACUAGUAUGAAUGGCACCACGAGGGUUUAACUGUCUCCUUUUUCUAAUCAGUGAAACUAAUCUCCCCGUGAAGAAGCUGGGAUUUUUUUAUAAGACGAGAAGACCCUAUGGAGCUUUAAACUAUUUUACACCUGCUGCCCACAAACCAACUUCCAGAAAUUAACCCUAAAGCAUAGCACUUUGAUUAAUAGUUUUUGAUUGGGGUGAUCGCGGAGUAAAAAAUAACCUCCACGACGAAAGGAUUUUUCCUGAGCCAUAAGCCACAGCUUUAAGCACUAAUAUUAUUAACGGCUAUUGACCCAAUAAUUUUGAUCAACGAAC
RNAcentral lists this ribosomal RNA (423 nucleotides) under Boana xerophylla. RNAcentral describes it as "partial large subunit ribosomal RNA". It matches the Rfam family "Bacterial large subunit ribosomal RNA", at positions 1832 to 2457 of the family's 2925-position model. Lineage: Eukaryota; Metazoa; Chordata; Amphibia; Anura; Hylidae. The record is from RNAcentral.